UGGAGACUUAUGAGGAGGUUAAACACAUCAUAACUAAUAAAGGAAAGACAGCAGCAAUUAUUAAGCAGAGAGAAAAUGUGUGGCAGACAAUUGCAGACCGACUGAAUGCGGGAGGCAGCUACAGACUCUGUCCCACACACAGAAACUGCCCUCUUCAUACAAGUGUCAGGUGACACACUGACCCUUCUGGAGCCACCAGAAGAUGAUCCGGGUCAAGGCACAUCUGCAGCAGAUGAGGAGGAGGAGACUCUUUCUCUGGACUCCAGAAGGUUUGAGCAUGACACAGAUGGUGACCAGCCUGACAGCCUGCCUGGAAAUAUAGUGAGUAUUGCCUGAAGGACAUCCACGGUGUCCACAUUUGCUGUGCUAAUAGAUAU
Molecule: long non-coding RNA, 377 nt
Organism: Epinephelus moara (kelp grouper)
Lineage: Eukaryota; Metazoa; Chordata; Actinopteri; Perciformes; Serranidae
Exons: 5
Source: RefSeq, a predicted model, not a curated record